This 253-nucleotide ribosomal RNA is filed under the name uncultured bacterium. RNAcentral describes it as "partial 16S ribosomal RNA". It matches the Rfam family "Bacterial small subunit ribosomal RNA", at positions 524 to 776 of the family's 1533-position model. The record is from RNAcentral.
AACGUAGGACGCAAGCGUUAUCCGGAAUUACUGGGCGUAAAGCGUGCGCAGGCGGUUCGGCAAGUCCGAUGUGAAAGCCCCGGGCUCAACCUGGGAAUGGCAUUGGAAACUGGCGAGCUUGAGUGUGGCAGAGGGGGGUGGAAUUCCGCGUGUAGCAGUGAAAUGCGUAGAGAUGCGGAGGAACACCGAUGGCGAAGGCAGCCCCCUGGGCUGACACUGACGCUCAGGCACGAAAGCGUGGGGAGCAAACAGG